CCUUGAACACUGAACUAUGGGGAAUAUUGCGCAAUGGGCGAAAGCCUGACGCAGCGACGCCGCGUGAGGGAUGAAGGUUUUCGGAUCGUAAACCUCUGUCAGAAGGGAAGAAACUACAUUGUGCUAAUCAGCAGUGUACUGACGGUACCUUCAAAGGAAGCACCGGCUAACUCCGUGCCAGCAGCCGCGGUAAUACGGAGGGUGCAAGCGUUAAUCGGAAUUACUGGGCGUAAAGCGCACGUAGGCUGUAGUGUAAGUCAGGGGUGAAAUCCCACGGCUCAACCGUGGAACUGCCUUUGAUACUGCACAACUUGAAUCCGGGAGAGGGUGGCGGAAUUCCAUGUGUAGGAGUGAAAUCCGUAAAUAUCUGGAGGAACAUCAGUGGCGAAGGCGGCCACCUGGACCGGUAUUGACGCUGAGGUGCGAAAGCGUGGGGAGCAAACAGGGAUUAGAUACCCUGGUAGUCCACGCUGUAAACGAUGGAUGCUAGAUGUCGGGGAGUAUUCUUCGGUGUCGUAGUUAACGCGUUAAGCAUCCCGCCUGGGGAGUACGGUCGCAAGGCUGAAAC
This 568-nucleotide ribosomal RNA is filed under the name uncultured prokaryote. RNAcentral describes it as "bacterial SSU rRNA". It matches the Rfam family "Bacterial small subunit ribosomal RNA", at positions 330 to 900 of the family's 1533-position model. The record is from RNAcentral.